GACGAACGCUGGCGGCGUGCUUAACACAUGCGAGUCGAACGGAAAGGCCCUGCUUUUGUGGGGUGCUCGAGUGGCGAACGGGUGAGUAACGCGUGAGUAACCUGCCCUUGACUUUGGGAUAACUUCAGGAAACUGGGGCUAAUACCGGAUAGGAGCUCCUGCUGCAUGGUGGGGGUUGGAAAGUUUCGGCGGUUGGGGAUGGACUCGCGGCUUAUCAGCUUGUUGGUGGGGUAGUGGCUUACCAAGGCUUUGACGGGUAGCCGGCCUGAGAGGGUGACCGGCCACAUUGGGACUGAGAUACGGCCCAGACUCCUACGGGAGGCAGCAGUGGGGAAUAUUGCACAAUGGGCGGAAGCCUGAUGCAGCAACGCCGCGUGCGGGAUGACGGCCUUCGGGUUGUAAACCGCUUUCGCCUGUGACGAAGCGUGAGUGACGGUAAUGGGUAAAGAAGCACCGGCUAACUACGUG
RNAcentral lists this ribosomal RNA (468 nucleotides) under uncultured bacterium. RNAcentral's name for it is "partial 16S ribosomal RNA". It matches the Rfam family "Bacterial small subunit ribosomal RNA", at positions 28 to 507 of the family's 1533-position model. The record is from RNAcentral.